GUCAUGUGUCCUUAAGGGGUUAAAUGUUUCUAUCAUAUCCCCCCUGUCUCGUCUUUCCUCCAAGCUAUACAUGUUAAGAUCCUUUAACCUUUCCUGGUAAGUUUUAUCCCGCAAUUCAUGAACCAGUUUAGUAGCCCUUCUCUGAACCCUCUCUAAGGUAUCAAUAUCCUUCUGAAGAUACGGUCUCCAGUACUGUAUACAAUACUCCAAGUGAGGUCUCACCAG
Pelobates cultripes (western spadefoot toad) is the source of this 225-nucleotide non-coding RNA. The record is from the annotation of a GenBank genome assembly. NCBI's taxonomy places the organism in Eukaryota, Metazoa, Chordata, Amphibia, Anura, Pelobatidae.